This 497-nucleotide ribosomal RNA is filed under the name uncultured bacterium. RNAcentral's name for it is "partial 16S ribosomal RNA". It matches the Rfam family "Bacterial small subunit ribosomal RNA", at positions 28 to 507 of the family's 1533-position model. The record is from RNAcentral.
GAUGAACGCUGGCGGCGUGCCUAAUACAUGCAAGUCGAGCGAACAGACGAGGAGCUUGCUCCUCUGACGUUAGCGGCGGACGGGUGAGUAACACGUGGAUAACCUACCUAUAAGACUGGGAUAACUUCGGGAAACCGGAGCUAAUACCGGAUAAUAUAUUGAACCGCAUGGUUCAAUAGUGAAAGACGGUUUUGCUGUCACUUAUAGAUGGAUCCGCGCCGCAUUAGCUAGUUGGUAAGGUAACGGCUUACCAAGGCGACGAUGCGUAGCCGACCUGAGAGGGUGAUCGGCCACACUGGAACUGAGACACGGUCCAGACUCCUACGGGAGGCAGCAGUAGGGAAUCUUCCGCAAUGGGCGAAAGCCUGACGGAGCAACGCCGCGUGAGUGAUGAAGGUAUUCGGAUCGUAAAACUCUGUUAUUAGGGAAGAACAAAUGUGUAAGUAACUAUGCACGUCUUGACGGUACCUAAUCAGAAAGCCACGGCUAACUACGUG